UAAUCACUGGCGCCUUGUUCCUAUAUUUGUUUGUCAGUAUCUUUCACCCAAAAAGAAGAAGAAAAGUUUGUCAGUCAGUUGCUCCACGUUUUUGGCCUCCUAGGGAAGAAAAUGCUUUGUCAAAGUGGGGCCUAUGGCUGGGGCUAUCAAUGGGUACCUGAAUCCAUGGGUAUCCAAGAUAUUCAACCCAAUUUUAAUGUAUUUGGAUCCUAACCUUGUGCUGUCUAAUAAUGAGGUCAGGUUCAAGUCCAUAGGUCUAGGCUUGUUCAAUAAUCAAGCCGGAUAGUGUAUCUAAUUGGGUGUCUAUUGGGUAAUCGAGAGUAUGCAUUAAUAACCUUCUUCUUCUUCAUCUUAUGCCUCAGAAUUUGAUCAUGAGGCUUGAAUCCUCCAUUAUAUUCCCAAUACACAACAGGUACCCGAACCCGAUCAGAUUUGGUUCCAUGUGUCUCCUCCUCCUUAUCAGGAUGGCAUUUAGACUGCGAAGCCAUCAUACGUCAGACUAGAUGUUAACAUGGAGAAACCUAGAAUGCUUUCACUUUCUUCUCCUUGAGGGAUUUUUAUGAAAGAAUUCUUCAAAAGAUCACCGAGAAAUUGAAAAAAUCCUUGCAUGUUGUAAUUUAUGAGAGUGGCAUCUUGGUGUAUGGAAGGUAGGGCACGUGAUAAAUUUCCAAAAUUCUUAGAAGAAAAUUGGAUUCACCUUUCUUUAGUUGAAAAUAUUUUUUUUGUGGUAAUCCUCUUGGCACUGGAACAAUUUUUGUUUUUUCCAAAAGCAACAGCACCCAUUUUUUAGCGAUGGGUUAAUGAGGUGUUGAAAAGGAUAAAUUAGAGAAGUGCAACAUCGAUUUGCAAGAUUUGUCGAAUUUUGGUCCCAAUUUUGUUGAAUUUUGAUAUCAAAUCCGUUAAGUAAUUGACUUGAGAAAUGGUUGAGGUGUUUUGCACGAGUGAGUUCGAAAAGCAAUUUGUGGCAUGUGAUCCAACUUGCAUAUCGAGAUCUGUGCCACUCAUCAUGUGGGUCCCACGAUGAGCGUUCUUUAACACAAAAAAUAGAUGGACUGGUUACCAUACAUACCAGAUGUGUAUGUUUUAACUGUCCAUUUCUCUCACACACAUUUUAACCAUUACUGCAGGCCAUAGCACUUCUCAAAUUUAUCCGUCUUGUUAUCUCAAUAAUACAUCACUAAAAGGACUGAGAGUUAAGUGUUACUAUGAAAAAAUUCAAAAUCCUUUGGUUCCAAAAGGAUUAAGAAAAAAGGUACCAGGUUUUGAAGAAAUUAUCUUUAGUACUGAAAGGCUUCCCACAACCUAGGUCUGUCAACGCCAAACUUUGGAUAGGCCCAGCUAGAGCAGUUCAAUAUCUGUGCCUAAGACAACACUAUGCUCGGCCCAUCGACAACCCUACCACAAGUAGAAACCUUUCAACACGAAGGUUUUGGGAAAAGAUAAACUGGUGAACGUUUUUUUAUUUGAAAGAUAAUAAACUGCUGAAACGUUUCCCACAGGCAACAACCAAAAAAGACCUUACUGUAAUAAAAGGUGAAUCCAUUUUUUAAAAAAGAUGGACAGAGAGCAAAUCCAUCGUUUGUCCACACAUCUGUAUGCAGAGUAUGUGCCAUCUUCAUAAAUUAAAACAGCUGUGGAUUUUUCUCAAAAUUUCAGUAAAGUUUUAUUGAGGAUUUUUAUUUUAUUUUAUUUUAUUUUUUCCAUAAAAACCAUUUUCUUAACUUAUCAGUGACAGUCUUUUUAAACCUGGCAUAUAUGUAUUAUGUACAGAUCCAAACCAUUCUUCAUGUGGGCCCAAACUUGCACAUGAUUAUCAGAUUGGUGUGGAUUCUGCGUAUGGCAAUCCAAGCUGUAGCCCACCUGAUGAUCGGUUCAGACCUAUUUUUAUGAAAGGCAACUCUCAUAAAUUGACAGAAGAAAGUGACAAACACCAUAGUGUGACAUGAUUGCAGUUAUGACUCUGGCAAUGACGGCUGAUGGUUGUCGUAAUUCAGGUGAAGAAUCAUGGUGGCCUUACAAAUUGCUAGAACAUGGAUCUCAGUGCCAUUAAAGAUGCAUCUGAUUGUGUUCCUGAGCACCAAAGGUUACCUUCCUUCAAAACCCAAGAAAUGAUUGAUCAAAUAGGCUGAAAAUCAAAUCCGCAUUUUGUGAAAAUGCAGUUGACAAGGACAUAACCUCUCCUGCAGACCAAAAAAUCAUUCUCACAGAACUUAACGGAAAGCUGAACAAGUUGGGCUAAAUAUAUCAGCUCAAGGGCCUGCAGAAGGAGCUGAAUGCUGUGCUGAGCAAGUGUGUGAAGCUCCUUGAUUAAGUCCUAUCCCAACAUAUCCAAGGCAGGUUGACUUCGACAUCAUCACACAGUCAACCAGAUCAUCAGGGGCCACUUCUACAGGAAAAGACUGUUCAAUCUCGGUGACUGCUUCGCAAAUGAGGCCCAUGAACUGGAGCACAUGAAGUCUCUGUUCCUUGAGAUGCAUUGGAUACUUGAUGCAAUUAGGAAUAGGAACCUGGGACCUGCAGUGGAAUGGUUGGCCACCAAUAGGACCAGGUCUUGCAGAAUGGCUCGACCCUUGACCAGGGUGCAGUUUGCAGAGAUACUGGAAGGGAAGCAAGGUGAUGUACUCAACUAUGCUAUGACUUGCCUGGCCCAUUUGCUGAAUUACACAUGACUGACUUCCAGAAGCUCAUAGCCUGUCUAUUGUGGGUGGGGCAGCUAGAACAUUCCACAUAAAGCAGAACUUCUUUCUCCAGCCCACUGGGAAAGGUGUUGCGGUCCCUACUGAAGUUGGCGACUUUUAUGGUGGCUAACAAGCAAGAAUGGCGCAUCAUGUAGCAGUUAUCUGUGCCGUUGGAUCUGGGGAGUGAGUUCCAAUUCGGUACAAUUUUUGUCUGCCUGGUUUCUCAUGAUCAAGUGAGUGAAGAGAACCUGCCCAUGCUGCUGCCCUGCAGCAUGUGCUGUGCAAGCAGUUGAUCUUGAAGCUGUUGAAGAGCAAUGUGAGUAUGUUUGAGUGUUUGCACUGCUUAUUCAAGGCCACCUAGGCCAAUGUAGGCAGCUCUACUUCUGAUGCUUCCCAGUCUCACAUGUUUGUGUAAUGUUAGGAUUCUUUCUCUCUCCCCAUGAUCUGACAGAAGGUUGUGUUGUGCAUUUAAGCCAUGGGGAUUAUGGAGUGACAUGGGGGACAUGUUCCGGUAUAUGUGAAGGCAUGCAUGCAUCUAUUUGCUGUGAAUAGACAUUCCUUAAGGAUUCAUGUGGGAGCUGACCCAUUUAUUGCCAUAAAACAGCAAACCCAAUUCGCCAUUAUUGCAUUUUUGCACUUUCCUUGGCAGCCUUCAGGUCCCACCAUGAAACAUGAUAAUUGAAGUGAGGGAGUCUUGGGGUUUGAUCUAUGCAUCGAGCUACUCAUGAACAUGGCUCACUGAACUUCAAGUGAUGAUUAUAGCGGAGAUCAAAACCACUAAGUUGGACAGCCAAGAAUCUUGUGGAGAGCAGGGCUGGUUACUAGACUGGCCCUAGAUGAUGCAGGUUCACACGCACACACUGCAGUAUGAGACUGGCCCUAGAUGAUGCAGGUUGCUCAGUGGUCAUUAAACAACCAGAAAGUUUGUCAAAGGCCAAGAAGAUGGGCGAGGCCGCCUGGUGGCAGUCAAGGCCUAGAAGAAGACGAAAUUGAGGAUAUACAGGAAGAGAAGAAAAACCAUUAGGUGUAGAUGAACAACUAGUUGGUGUACCGAUGACAACGAAAUGCAAGAAGGGGAAGUAACAUUUAAGAAAGCGAUGAGUAUGAUGAUAAUGGUAGUGAUGAUGAUGCCAAUGAUGGUGGAGAUGUGCCAUAAUGGAUUAUGGAUCAAUGUGUAUCGCCAAUUUUAAAAUUUUAAAAUUUGAAUUUGUAUAAUGUAUUUCUACUUCGAAUUAUCUUUAUUCAAAAUUAUAUCAACACAUGCACGCAUUUUUUAGUGUAUG
This is a long non-coding RNA of Magnolia sinica, 3961 nucleotides long. RefSeq lists it as uncharacterized. The transcript has 3 exons. The record is from RefSeq and is a predicted model, not a curated record. NCBI's taxonomy places the organism in Eukaryota, Viridiplantae, Streptophyta, Magnoliopsida, Magnoliales, Magnoliaceae.